This 1961-nucleotide ribosomal RNA is filed under the name Menoponidae sp. NKU-012. RNAcentral describes it as "SSU rRNA". It matches the Rfam family "Eukaryotic small subunit ribosomal RNA". The record is from RNAcentral. Lineage: Eukaryota; Metazoa; Arthropoda; Insecta; Psocodea; Menoponidae.
CUUGUCUCAAAGAUUAAGCCAUGCAAGUGUCAGUUCAUGCCAAACUAAGGUGAAACCGCGAAAGGCUCAUUAAAUCAGUUACAGUUUACUUGAUGGCAUGACGUUACCGUUACUUGGAUAACUGUGGCAAUUCUAGAGCUAAUACAUGCACUCGAGUCUCGACCGCGUUAGCGCGCGGAAGGGAUGCUUUUAUUAGAUCAAAACCAAUCGGGAAAUCGGAUUCGCGUCCGACGUACCGUACAGUCUUGGUGACUCUGGAUAAAUUGUCGCUGAUCGCAAGGUCUUCGCGCCUGCGACGCAUCUUUCAAAUGUCUGACUUAUCAACUAUCGACGGUAUGCCACGUGCCUACCGUGGUGGUAACGGGUAACGGGGAAUCAGGGUUCGAUUCCGGAGAGGGAGCCUGCGAAACAGCUACCACAUCCAAGGAAGGCAGCAGGCGCGCAAAUUACCCACUCCCGGCACGGGGAGGUAGUGACGAAAAAUAACGAUACGGGACUCAUCCGAGGCCCCGUAAUCGGAAUGAGUAUACUCUAAAUCCUUAUACGAGUAUCAAUUGGAGGGCAAGUCUGGUGCCAGCAGCCGCGGUAAUUCCAGCUCCAAUAGCGUAUAUUAAAGUUGUUGCGGUUAAAAAGCUCGUAGUUGGAUCUGUGUCCCGCACCGUCGGUUCACCGCCUGUCGGUGUUCAACUGGUGUGUAUGCGGGACGUCCUGCCGGUGGCGGUCCGGUUCCCCGUGGGUACGUAGGGGCGUCCUUGCUUACGCUUGCGUCGUCCCCGAAGGCCUGCGCGGUGUAUCCGGCCGCCUUUUCAAUCCCGUCGCGGUGCUCUUCACUGAGUGUCGAGGCGGGCCGGCACGUUUACUUUGAACAAAUUAGAGUGCUUUAAGCAGGCCCUGUCCCGCCUGUAUGUUGUGUGCAUGGAAUAAUGGAAUAGGACCUCGGUUCUAUUUUGUUGGUUUUCGGAAUCUGAGGUAAUGAUCAAUGGGGACAGGCGGGGGCAUUCGUAUUGCGACGUUAGAGGUGAAAUUCUUGGAUCGUCGCAAGACGGACCGAAGCGAAAGCAUUUGCCAAGUAUGUUCUCGUCGAUCAAGAACGAAAGUUAGAGGUUCGAAGGCGAUCAGAUACCGCCCUAGUUCUAACCAUAAACUAUGCCUGCCAGCGAUCCGCCGAAGUUCCUCCGAUGACUCGGCGGGCAGCUUCCGGGAAACCAGAGCUUUUGGGUUCCGGGGGAAGUAUGGUUGCAAAGCUGAAACUUAAAGGAAUUGACGGAAGGGCACCACCAGGAGUGGAGCCUGCGGCUUAAUUUGACUCAACACGGGAAAACUCACCAGGCCCGGACACCGGAAGGAUUGACAGAUUGAGAGCUCUUUCUUGAUUCAGUGGGUGGUGGUGCAUGGCCGUUCUUAGUUGGUGGAGCGAUUUGUCUGGUUAAUUCCGAUAACGAACGAGACUCUAGCCUGCUAAAUAGGCGAAAAAAUUCGGUCCGUUAACAGCGGGUCGAAGUCCGGUAUGCAGCCUACCGGCGAUUGGAAAUAACUCUUCUUAGAGGGACAAGCGGCAUCUAGCCGCGCGAGAUUGAGCAAUAACAGGUCUGUGAUGCCCUUAGAUGUUCUGGGCCGCACGCGUGCUACACUGAAGGAAUCAACGUGUCGGACGAUCCUCGGCCGAAAGGUCCGGGCAACCCGUUGAACCUCCUUCGUGCUAGGGAUUGGGGAUUGCAAUUGUUUCCCAUGAACGAGGAAUUCCCAGUAAGCGCGAGUCAUAAGCUCGCGUUGAUUACGUCCCUGCCCUUUGUACACACCGCCCGUCGCUACUACCGAUUGAACGAUUUAGUGAGGUCUUCGGACUUGCACGCGGGCGUCCGGCGCAUUCUGUAAAGAAUCGUCGGAUUGCCCGCAGUCGCGAGGAAGACGAUCGAACUUGAUCGUUUAGAGGAAGUAAAAGUCGUAACAAGGUUUCCGUA